Molecule: long non-coding RNA, 244 nt
Organism: Rhineura floridana
Lineage: Eukaryota; Metazoa; Chordata; Lepidosauria; Squamata; Rhineuridae
Exons: 3
Source: RefSeq, a predicted model, not a curated record
AUUCUUUCAUCACUCUAUUUUUCUUUUUGUUUCAGUAUGAACAGAACACACUACUCAGUCCGUUAUCCAAUGGAAACUGUCAUGGCGAACCAUCGUUACAGCAACGGCCCAAUGAAAGGCAUUCCCUAAUAUUCGACUGCAGUGGCCUGACUUUCUUUGACUACACUGGCAUCUCUAUGCUUACUCAGAUCUACAUGGAAUCUAAAAAAAGAAAUAUUGAUGUUUUGCUGGCAAAUUGCAAAGG